Molecule: ribosomal RNA, 253 nt
Filed under: uncultured bacterium
Lineage: Bacteria
Description: partial 16S ribosomal RNA
Rfam family: Bacterial small subunit ribosomal RNA
Source: RNAcentral
UACGUAGGGUGCGAGCGUUGUCCGGAAUUAUUGGGCGUAAAGAGCUCGUAGGUGGCGGGUCACGUCGGGUGUGAAAGCCCGGGGCUUAACUCCGGGUCUGCAUUCGAUACGGGUCUGCUGGGGUCCGGCAGGGGAGACUGGAAUUCCUGGUGUAGCGGUGAAAUGCGCAGAUAUCAGGAGGAACACCUAUUGCGAAGGCAGCUCGCUGGGACGUUACUGACGCUGAGACGCGAAAGCGUGGGGAGCAAACAGG